Odontomachus brunneus is the source of this 2867-nucleotide RNA transcript. It is a transcript of the gene named probable GDP-L-fucose synthase, with no coding region annotated. The record is from RefSeq and is a predicted model, not a curated record. The transcript has 9 exons. NCBI's taxonomy places the organism in Eukaryota, Metazoa, Arthropoda, Insecta, Hymenoptera, Formicidae.
UGAACGCCAUCUGUUAAGAACCACAGCUUUUAUGACAAUCUCUGUCCAACUCAUGAUGGUAAUCAGUUACCAUCAGGAAUUUGUAAUCUAUGAUAGUAAAUCUAACUUUUAUCCACGCUGUAUUUCUUCGUGAAUUCUGGAUUGUAGAACACAGUCAUAUUCUGCAUAACAUGAAAGUCGUACUUGUAACUGGCGGUACUGGGCUGGUUGGCAAAGCCAUUCAAAGUGUUAUUGCCUAUGAUAAAAGAGAGGAUGAAAGGUGGAUAUUUAUUGGUUCUAAAGAUGCGGAUUUGUGCAAUAAGGAGAGUACUCGCAAAUUAUUCAAUGAACACAGACCGACACAUGUUAUCCAUCUGGCAGCCAUGGUGGGUGGACUUUUUCACAACAUGUCUCACAAUUUGGACUUUUUACGAAAUAAUAUACACAUGAAUGAUAAUGUUCUUCAAACUGCUCACGAACACAAUGUUAUAAAAGUUGUUUCAUGCCUUUCAACUUGUAUAUUUCCAGACAAAACUACCUAUCCUAUAAAUGAAACUAUGGUCCACAAUGGACCACCACAUCCUUCAAAUUAUGGUUACAGCUACGCUAAACGACUUAUUGAUAUUGCAAAUAGAGGCUACCACGAUCAGCACAACAGGUUGUACACCAGUGUGAUUCCUUGUAAUGUAUUUGGUCCACACGACAACUUUCAUCCCAGCUCAAGUCAUGUUAUACCUGGCUUGAUGCGCAGGCUUUACGACUUGUGCAAAGAUGGAAACACUGAGGACAAGGUGUUCACUGUGCUGGGAUCUGGCAAGCCUUUGAGGCAAUUCAUCUAUAGUAUAGACUUGGCAAAAUUAAUAAUCUGGGUGCUCCGCGAAUACAAUUCUGUGGAACCAAUCAUAUUAUCAGUGGACGAGGAGCAGGAAACGUCCAUAUCGCAGAUGGCGGAGUCUCUGGUGCGAGCUUUUGACUUCAAAGGCAAAGUAGUAUACGAUACGUCGGCGGCGGACGGCCAGUACAAGAAGACUGCGAGUAACGCGAAAUUACGAAAGUACUUACCGGACUUUCAGUUCACGCCCUUCGCCCAAGCGAUCAAAGAGACCGUCGAUUGGUACAUAGAAAAUUACGAUCGAGCGAGAAAUUAGAGCGGCGGAAAUCAGAUAUGUCGAUGCAAAUGUUACCUGUUAGAAUUGGCUGGAUACGGUAUUCGGAAGACACGACGUUACGUGUGUUCCUUACUAUCGAGAGACUGCGGGGCGUGGAUCAGCGCAAAUGCGCCAGCGUGAAGGCAAGCGACCUUUAACUGGCUCGAGAUCCGUAAAUCCAGAAUAACGGGGUGUGAAGAGUAUUUCCAGUCUGUCAAAUAAACAUUCGCGGUACGCGGAUAUUUUUAUUGAUCGGGAAAUUUAAGUCUCUAUUGAACGCGCGCCAAAGAUAGAUCCGGCCCGAGCACCUGCCGUUUCAUUUAUUUUUGCUCAAUCCGCGGCACUCCUGAGGAGUGUAUUUUAGGUCAGUUCGUGCGCGAAGCCCAACCAGUGGAUCACUCUAGACUUUGCAUCGACUGUCAUGUCGGCGGAGAAGCGGGCGCGCGCCCGUCACAGUCGCGAGAAGUCACUGUGGAUUAAUCAAGAGCAAGGUGACGAGGGGUCGCAGCUGCCGCAAGAGCAGGCAAAAUAAUGCAGAUUCGGUAGGAAGCACACGUGAGGGGCCUGACAGUGACGAAAAGGAAAGCAUGACAAAGCAACAAUGAAGCGAAGGAGCAAAAAAAGAAGGGACGGACGGAGCGUAGCGUAGAUACGUCGCACAAUGGUGUCAAAUAUAAUUUCACGUUUCAAGAAAAACUUUAUCGGAUCAGUUUUCAUCUCCUUCUUCAAAAUCAUACAAAGAAGUCAGAUUUAAAAAUUUGUUUCAAUCAAUUCAAUCAACAGUAUAUACAGAUGACUCAUUUCAUAUCUCAUUUAAUCUAACAUCAGGCACAAAGGAAUAUUGUGAUAUUGAAAUCUCCUGAUUACGGGUUUGAAAAAAAAUCAUACAGACUCUUGACGUGGAUUAAAUCUUACUUUAAACUUAACAAACGAGGUGAAUUGAGACAGUACCUAAUUUUAGCAAAUAAAAUCUACCAACUUAGAUAAGAUUAAAUUAUUAUCACUAUGCAAUCAAUUUUUGUAACAACUCGCGAACACACUUCCGCAUUUAUAUCGGAAUUGUUUGAAACAACUUUUAAAUCCAACUUCUUUAUGUCUGAUUUAGGAGAAGGGAAGCGAAAGACAGAGAUCUGGCUCGACAAGGUUGUUAGCUUUCAAAGUUCGACGAAGUUAGCUUAAAGAAGAGAAAAGGCAUCGAAAUUGGUUAAAAUGUCGGAACUGCGGUCUCUUUUGAAGCGUGAAAUUUCAUUCGGUCGCACUGUGCGGCGCGGCGCAGGCGCGCGGCGUCGCGCGGCUUCGGGGAAGAGUUGGGGUCGCUUCUCGGCGGUGCCACCUCGAGGCCGGCGCGGCUCGGUCAGUAGUCGCUCUCGGGGUGGCUCGCGUCUCGCCGACUCGUUUCGCGCUCGUCUCGCGGUCUCGUGCGAGGAUGUGUUCUCGUGGUGGCGCAGACGAGUCGUGAUACGGCACGUGGUGCUGCUUCGCUCCUCUCCCCCUCGAGAACGACGAGAAGGACGUGCCGUGUGCGCGAUGACGCGGGGGACGAUCCUGCCGAGGCGAUCCUGGAGCCGGUAGCGGUGCCCGCCGUCUCGACAGCUCAAUAGGCUGCCUCACGGAAACGAGAGAAAGAAGAGAGCGGAAGAGGGAGAAAAGGAAACGCGUCGUCGCGCGCCCGUCGUGCGACCAAGGACGUCGAGGGCAAAACGACGAGGCCUCUUCGACGGGACGAGCGGAACGUGCGGA